AACGAACGCUGGCGGCAUGCCUAACACAUGCAAGUCGAACGAGACCUUCGGGUCUCGUGGCGCACGGGUGCGUAACGCGUGGGAACCUGCCCUUAGGUUCGGAAUAACUCCCCGAAAGGGGUGCUAAUACCGGAUAAUGUCUUCGGACCAAAGAUUUAUCGCCUUUGGAUGGGCCCGCGUUGGAUUAGCUAGUUGGUAGGGUAAAAGCCUACCAAGGCGACGAUCCAUAGCUGGUCUGUGAGGAUGAUCAGCCACACUGGGACUGAGACACGGCCCAGACUCCUACGGGAGGCAGCAGUGGGGAAUAUUGGACAAUGGGCGAAAGCCUGAUCCAGCAAUGCCGCGUGAGUGAUGAAGGCCUUAGGGUUGUAAAGCUCUUUUACCCGGGAUGAUAAUGACAGUACCGGGAGAAUAAGCUCCGGCUAACUCCGUG
RNAcentral lists this ribosomal RNA (433 nucleotides) under uncultured bacterium. RNAcentral describes it as "partial 16S ribosomal RNA". It matches the Rfam family "Bacterial small subunit ribosomal RNA", at positions 29 to 507 of the family's 1533-position model. The record is from RNAcentral.